This 379-nucleotide ribosomal RNA is filed under the name uncultured bacterium. RNAcentral describes it as "bacterial SSU rRNA". It matches the Rfam family "Bacterial small subunit ribosomal RNA", at positions 36 to 412 of the family's 1533-position model. The record is from RNAcentral.
GACGAACGUCUGGCGGCGUUGCUUAACACAUGCAAGUCGAGGGGCCCGCAAGGGCACCGGCGAACGGGUGCGUAACACGUGAGCAACCUGCCUCGGAGUGGGGGAUAGCCGGCCCAACGGCCGGGUAAUACCGCAUACGCUCGGGCGACGGAGUCGUGGCCCGAGGAAAGAUUCAUCGCUCGGAGAGGGGCUCGCGGCCUAUCAGCUUAGUUGGUUGGGGUAACGGCCUACCAAGGCGACGACGGGUAGCUGGUCUGAGAGGAUGGCCAGCCACAUUGGGACUGAGAGACGGCCCAGACUCCUACGGGAGGCAGCAGUGGGGGAAUACUUAGCGCAAUGGCCGAGAGGCUGACGACAGCGACGCCGCGUGGGGGAUGAC